This 497-nucleotide ribosomal RNA is filed under the name uncultured bacterium. RNAcentral's name for it is "partial 16S ribosomal RNA". It matches the Rfam family "Bacterial small subunit ribosomal RNA", at positions 28 to 507 of the family's 1533-position model. The record is from RNAcentral.
GAUGAACGCUGGCGGCGUGCCUAAUACAUGCAAGUCGAGCGAACGUACGAGAAGCUUGCUUCUCUGAUGUUAGCGGCGGACGGGGGAGUAACACGUGGAUAACCUACCUAUAAGACUGGGAUAACUUCGGGAAACCGGAGCUAAUACCGGAUGAUAUUUUGAACCUCAUGGUUCAAAAGUGAAAGACGGUCUUGCUGUCACUUAUAGAUGGAUCCGCGCUGCAUUAGCUAGUUGGUAAGGUAACGGCUUACCAAGGCAACGAUGCAUAGCCGACCUGAGAGGGGGACGGGCACAACGGGAACGGGGCCACGGUCCAGCCUCCUACGGGAGGCAGCAGAAGGGAAUCUUCGGCAAUGGGCGAAAGCCUGACGGAGAAACGCCGGGUGAGUAAUGAAGGUCUUCGGAUCGUAAAACUCUGUUAUUAGGGAAGAACAUAUGUGUAAGUAACUGUUCACAUCUUGACGGUACCUAAUCAGAAAGCCACGGCUAACUACGUG